Long non-coding RNA from Dreissena polymorpha, 1213 nucleotides. RefSeq lists it as uncharacterized. The record is from RefSeq and is a predicted model, not a curated record. Lineage: Eukaryota; Metazoa; Mollusca; Bivalvia; Myida; Dreissenidae. The transcript is spliced from 2 exons.
UUAUACGCCCGUUUAUGACGGGACGUAUUAUGGUAUACCCCGCGUCCGUCCGUCCGUCCGUCCGUCUGUUAAUGUCGUACGCUACGUCAAAUAUCCUUUGACAGAUUUUCUUCAAAUUUUAACACAAUCUUAAUAUUGAUAAACCCUGAUCCCCUUUCGUUUUUGACGGAAUUCUGAAUUGUCGUUCCAGAGUUAUGGGACUUUGUUCGUCAAAAUUUCGUGAUUUCAUUGAAUGUCCUACUGUAGCUAUAUAAAAAUGUUAAAGUUGUUAUAACUUUGGUAUGCUUGGACCUAGAGUCUUGAAACUUGACAUGAAGGUUGGCCAGAACUAGUAAGUAACCACUGGACAUUUCAAGGUCAUUCAUUUGAAGGUCAAGGUCACUGUGACCUUGAAUGUAAAAAUGUUAAAGUUCUUAUUUCAUGUUAUAACUUUGGUAUGCUUGUACCUAGAGUCUUCAAACUUGAAAUAAAGAUUGGCCAGUACUAGAAGAUGACCACUGGUCAUUUCAAUGUCAUUCAUUUGAAGGUCAAGGUCACUGUGACCUUAAAUGUUAAAAUGUUAAAAUUGUUAUAACUUUGGUAUGCUUGGACAUAGAGUCUUCAAACUUGACAUGAAGGUUUGCAAGCACACUUAGAUGACCACUGGUCAUUUCAAGGUCAUUCAUUCUAAGGUCAAGGUCACUGUAACCUUAAAUGUUAUUGUUGUUCAUGUAUCCUACCGUAGCUCAAAUAUCCCCCGAUGGAUUUUUUAUACGCCCGUCUAUGACGGGACGUAUUAUGGUAUACCCCGCGUCCGUCUGUCCGUCCGUCCGUCCGUCCGUCCGUCUGUUAAUGUCGUACGCUACGUCAAAUAUCCUUUGACAGAUUUUCUUCAAAUUUUAACACAAUCUUAAUAUUGAUAAACCCUGAUCCCCUUUCGUUUUUGACGGAAUUCUGAAUUGUCGUUCCAGAGUUAUGGGACUUUGUUCGUCAAAAUUUCGUGAUUUCAUUGAAUGUCCUACUGUAGCUCAAAUAUCCUUCGAUGGAUUUUUUUCAAAUUUCAACACAAUCUUAAUAUUGAUAAACCCUGAUCCCCUUUCGUUUUUGACGGAAUUCUGAAUUGUCGUUCCAGAGUUAUGGGACUUUGUUCGUCAAAAUUUCGUGAUUUCCAUGCUCAUGUACUUAUAAAAUAAACCAUGUAUUCAAAUACAAAUAAACUGAAGUAAAAAAAUGA